RNAcentral lists this transfer RNA (73 nucleotides) under Candidatus Nasuia deltocephalincola. RNAcentral's name for it is "Candidatus Nasuia deltocephalinicola tRNA". It matches the Rfam family "tRNA". From Rfam's summary of the family: Transfer RNA (tRNA) molecules are approximately 80 nucleotides in length. Their secondary structure includes four short double-helical elements and three loops (D, anti-codon, and T loops). The record is from Rfam by way of RNAcentral. Lineage: Bacteria; Pseudomonadati; Pseudomonadota; Betaproteobacteria.
AGCGGAGUAGAGCAGUGGUUAACUCAUCGGACUCAUAAUUCGAAGAUCACAGGUUCGAAUCCUGUCUCCGCAA